Molecule: ribosomal RNA, 581 nt
Filed under: uncultured bacterium
Lineage: Bacteria
Description: bacterial SSU rRNA
Rfam family: Bacterial small subunit ribosomal RNA
Source: RNAcentral
GAAUCUGCCUGGUAGUGGGGGAUAACGUCCGGAAACGGACGCUAAUACCGCAUACGUCCUACGGGAGAAAGCAGGGGACCUUCGGGCCUUGCGCUAUCAGAUGAGCCUAGGUCGGAUUAGCUAGUUGGUGGGGUAAUGGCUCACCAAGGCGACGAUCCGUAACUGGUCUGAGAGGAUGAUCAGUCACACUGGAACUGAGACACGGUCCAGACUCCUACGGGAGGCAGCAGUGGGGAAUAUUGGACAAUGGGCGAAAGCCUGAUCCAGCCAUGCCGCGUGUGUGAAGAAGGUCUUCGGAUUGUAAAGCACUUUAAGUUGGGAGGAAGGGCAGUAAAUUAAUACUUUGCUGUUUUGACGUUACCGACAGAAUAAGCACCGGCUAACUCUGUGCCAGCAGCCGCGGUAAUACAGAGGGUGCAAGCGUUAAUCGGAAUUACUGGGCGUAAAGCGCGCGUAGGUGGUUCGUUAAGUUGGAUGUGAAAUCCCCGGGCUCAGCCUGGGAACUGCAUUCAAAACUGACGAGCUAGAGUAUGGUAGAGGGUGGUGGAAUUUCCUGUGUAGCGGUGAAAUGCGUAGAUAUA